This 110-nucleotide ribosomal RNA is filed under the name Bacillus mycoides. Its description in RNAcentral is "partial 23S ribosomal RNA". It matches the Rfam family "Bacterial large subunit ribosomal RNA", at positions 1 to 110 of the family's 2925-position model. The record is from RNAcentral. RNAcentral also lists the same sequence under 11 other names. Lineage: Bacteria; Bacillati; Bacillota; Bacilli; Caryophanales; Bacillaceae.
GGUUAAGUUAGAAAGGGCGCACGGUGGAUGCCUUGACACUAGGAGUCGAUGAAGGACGGGACUAACGCCGAUAUGCUUCGGGGAGCUGUAAGUAAGCUUUGAUCCGAAGA